AUAAAAAUCGGUUUUAAACCCAUUAUUCAAAUAGUGCAUCACUUCUCCUUUAUCUUCAUUCAACUUCAUUUUCAUUGAAAUCUUUCAAUUCUCAAACAUCAUACAGCCACAAAGUUGCCUUCAUUUUCCUAAGCUCUCCAUAACACUAUUCCUUUUAUAGUGUAAUCCUUUUAAGAUGAAUAUUGGGAUAUGUUUGGGUUCAUUAAGCAAUCCUCAUUCUUUCUAAUGUUUGUGGUUUUUUGCAUCAACAAUUUAUGUUUUAGGGCAUAAAGGUUAAGUAAUUUUUCUUUUUGCUAAAGAUUUAAUUGUUAUUUCAAAACGGAUUUGUCCUC
This 332-nucleotide long non-coding RNA is filed under the name Cicer arietinum (chickpea). RNAcentral's name for it is "long non-coding RNA (CARI_LNC003346)". The record is from RNAcentral. Lineage: Eukaryota; Viridiplantae; Streptophyta; Magnoliopsida; Fabales; Fabaceae.